GCGAUACCCGAAUGGGGAAACCCAGUGUGACUCGUCACACUAUCAUUAACUGAAUCCAUAGGUUAAUGAGGCGAACCGGGGGAACUGAAACAUCUAAGUACCCCGAGGAAAAGAAAUCAACCGAGAUUCCCCCAGUAGCGGCGAGCGAACGGGGAGGAGCCCAGAGCCUGAAUCAGCAUGUGUGUUAGUGGAAGCGUCUGGAAAGGCGCGCGAUACAGGGUGACAGCCCCGUACACAAAAGCGCAUGUGCUGUGAGCUCGAUGAGUAGGGCGGGACACGUGGUAUCCUGUCUGAAUAUGGGGGGACCAUCCUCCAAGGCUAAAUACUCCUGACUGACCGAUAGUGAACCAGUACCGUGAGGGAAAGGCGAAAAGAACCCCGGCGAGGGGAGUGAAAAAGAACCUGAAACCGUGUACGUACAAGCAGUGGGAGCACCCUUUGGGUGUGACUGCGUACCUUUUGUAUAAUGGGUCAGCGACUUAUAUUCUGUAGCAAGGUUAACCGAAUAGGGGAGCCGGAGGGAAACCGAGUCUUAACCGGGCGUUAAGUUGCAGGGUAUAGACCCGAAACCCGGUGAUCUAGCCAUGGGCAGGUUGAAGGUUGGGUAACACUAACUGGAGGACCGAACCGACUAAUGUUGAAAAAUUAGCGGAUGACCUGUGGCUGGGGGUGAAAGGCCAAUCAAACCGGGAGAUAGCUGGUUCUCCCCGAAAGCUAUUUAGGUAGCGCCUCGUGAAUUCAUCUCCGGGGGUAGAGCACUGUUUCGGCUAGGGGGCCAUCCCGGCUUACCAACCCGAUGCAAACUGCGAAUACCGGAGAAUGUUAUCACGGGAGACACACGGCGGGUGCUAACGUCCGUCGUGAAGAGGGAAACAACCCAGACCGCCAGCUAAGGUCCCAAAGUCAUGGUUAAGUGGGAAACGAUGUGGGAAGGCCCAGACAGCCAGGAUGUUGGCUUAGAAGCAGCCAUCAUUUAAAGAAAGCGUAAUAGCUCACUGGUCGAGUCGGCCUGCGCGGAAGAUGUAACGGGGCUAAACCAUGCACCGAAGCUGCGGCAGCGACACUGUGUGUUGUUGGGUAGGGGAGCGUUCUGUAAGCCUGUGAAGG
This 1107-nucleotide ribosomal RNA is filed under the name Salmonella enterica subsp. enterica serovar Enteritidis. RNAcentral's name for it is "partial 23S ribosomal RNA". It matches the Rfam family "Bacterial large subunit ribosomal RNA", at positions 107 to 1256 of the family's 2925-position model. The record is from RNAcentral. Lineage: Bacteria; Pseudomonadati; Pseudomonadota; Gammaproteobacteria; Enterobacterales; Enterobacteriaceae.